RNAcentral lists this ribosomal RNA (477 nucleotides) under uncultured bacterium. RNAcentral describes it as "partial 16S ribosomal RNA". It matches the Rfam family "Bacterial small subunit ribosomal RNA", at positions 28 to 507 of the family's 1533-position model. The record is from RNAcentral.
GAUUAACGCUGGCGGCGUGCAUAACACAUGCAAGUAGAACGAUGAAACUUAAAUGAUUUCUUCGGAAUGAACUUAAGUGACUUAGUGGCGGACGGGUGAGUAACGCGUGAGUAACCUGCCUUAAACAAGGGGAUAGCCGUUGGAAACGACGAAUAAUACCAUAUGAAACUAUCACUUCGCAUGAAGCGAAAGUCAAAGUGUAAGCGGUGUAAGAUGGACUUGCGUCUGAUUAGCUAGUUGGUGAGAAAAAAGCCCACCAAGGCAACGAUCAGUAGCCGGCUUGUGAGAGUGUACGGCCACACUUGCACUGAGACACGGCCCAGACUCCUACGGGAUGCAGCAGUGGCGAAUUGUGCACAGUGGGGGAAAUCCUGAUGCAUCUACGCCGCGAGAUUUAUAAGGCCAUCGGGGUGUGAGAAUCUUUUGUAUAGGAAGAAAAUGACAGUGCUAUACGAAUAAGGUCCGGCUAAUUACGUG